Molecule: ribosomal RNA, 339 nt
Filed under: uncultured bacterium
Lineage: Bacteria
Description: bacterial SSU rRNA
Rfam family: Bacterial small subunit ribosomal RNA
Source: RNAcentral
GACGAACGCUGGCGGCGUGCUUAACACAUGCAAGUCGAGCGGUAAGGCCCUUCGGGGUACACGAGCGGCGAACGGGUGAGUAACACGUGGGUGACCUGCCUCUAGCUCUGGGAUAAGCCUGGGAAACUGGGUCUAAUACCGGAUAUGACUCCACGGCGCAUGUUGUGGGGUGGAAAGCCUUGUGUGGCUAGAGAUGGGCCCGCGGCCUAUCAGCUUGUUGGUGGGGUGAUGGCCUACCAAGGCGACGACGGUAGCCGGCCUGAGAGGGCGACCGGCCACACUGGGACUGAGACGCGGCCCAGACUCCUACGGGAGGCAGCAGUGGGGAAUCUUGCGCAA